GACGAACGCUGGCGGCGUGCCUAACACAUGCAAGUUGAGCGACGAACCAGGGCUUGCCCUGGGGCAAAGCAGCGAACGGGUGAGUAACACGUGGGUAACCUGCCCCGAUAACCGGGACAACCCGAGGAAACUCGGGCUAAUACCGGAUGUGCUCGCCGGACAUCAGUCCGGCGCGUAAAGGUAGCUUCGGCUUCCGUAUCGGGAGGGGCCCGCGGAUCAUUAGCUAGUUGGUGAGGUAACGGCUCACCAAGGCCGCGAUGAUUAGCUGGUCUGAGAGGACGAUCAGCCACACUGGGACUGAGACACGGCCCAGACUCCUACGGGAGGCAGCAGUGGGGAAUCUUGCGCAAUGCGCGAAAGCGUGACGCAGCAACGCCGCGUGGGGAAGAAGGCCUCGGGUUGUAAACCCCUUUCAGGAGGACGAAGGCUCGGCGGUGAAUAGCCGUCCGGGCUGACGGUACCUCCACAAGAAGCCCCGGCUAACUACGUGCCAGCAGCCGCGGUAAUACGUAGGGGGGCUAGCGUUGUCCGGAAUCAUUGGGCGUAAAGCGCGCGUAGGCGGCCCGGUAAGUCCGCUCUGAAAGUCCAGGGCUCAACCCUGGAACGCGGGUGGAUACUGCCGGGCUAGAGUUCCGGGAAGAGGCGAGUGGAAUUCCUGGUGUAGCGGUGGAAUGCGCAGAUAUCAGGAGGAACACCAAUAGCGAAGGCAGCUCGCUGGGACGGUACU
RNAcentral lists this ribosomal RNA (727 nucleotides) under uncultured bacterium. RNAcentral describes it as "bacterial SSU rRNA". It matches the Rfam family "Bacterial small subunit ribosomal RNA", at positions 28 to 741 of the family's 1533-position model. The record is from RNAcentral.